UAGCAUAAUAAAUAGUCUCUUAAUUAGAGUCUAGUAUGAAUGGUCGGACAUGAAGUAAGCUGUUUUAAUUUUGAUAUUUGAAUUUUACUUUUAAGUGAAAAGGCUUAAAUUAUAUGGUGGGACGAUAAGACCCUAUAAAGCUUUACGUUUUAUUCUUCAGUUAUGGGACUUAGGGUUUCUUAUUCUUAUUGAAUAAAGUGUUUUGUUGGGGCGACGGAAAUAUAAAUCGGUAACUGUUUUUAUUUAAAAAAUAUGUUUUUAUAGGGGAGUUGAUCCUUAUUUAGAGAUUAUAAGAUUUAAGUUACUUUAGGGAUAACAGCGUAAUUUGUCUUGAGAGUUCAUAUCGACAGAUGUAGUUGCGACCUCGAUGUUGAAUUAAAAUGCCCCCCAGGUGUAGCAGUUUUGGUGGUAGGUCUGUUCGACCUUUAAAA
RNAcentral lists this ribosomal RNA (431 nucleotides) under Caridina sp. WA2. RNAcentral describes it as "partial 16S ribosomal RNA". It matches the Rfam family "Bacterial large subunit ribosomal RNA", at positions 1957 to 2593 of the family's 2925-position model. Lineage: Eukaryota; Metazoa; Arthropoda; Malacostraca; Decapoda; Atyidae. The record is from RNAcentral.